RNAcentral lists this ribosomal RNA (228 nucleotides) under Triticum aestivum (bread wheat). RNAcentral's name for it is "partial small subunit ribosomal RNA". The record is from RNAcentral. Lineage: Eukaryota; Viridiplantae; Streptophyta; Magnoliopsida; Poales; Poaceae.
AUGCGGUGGGAAGAAGUGGCAUUUAGAAGUGUUGCUGACUUUACAUUUAGGUUUCGGCAUAACAAAGCUUGCACUGUCUUUUCGCACUUAGGCGCACGGCGUGCCGUUGGUAAUGAUUCUACUACGGUGCUGCAAAUUCGCAAGCUGAUCCUAAGUAAUCAUUGUUGUUCAUUGGAUUCCUCCGAAAUUACUUCGUUAGGAUUGAAGAAUUGCUGCAAUUCUUCCUGA